Molecule: long non-coding RNA, 40029 nt
Organism: Cyprinus carpio carpio
Lineage: Eukaryota; Metazoa; Chordata; Actinopteri; Cypriniformes; Cyprinidae
Source: Ensembl
CUGAAAAUCACUAUUUCUAAACAUGUGUUUCUCUGUUUUUCCAACUAGCCUAACGUUACAUGCCACGGUUUGAGUCGUCACAAUGAUGAAUAUGGUAAGAUGACAGCAAUACGAAGUAAAUCAAAUCUCACUGUGAAUGCAUAUGAACGCAUUACAAAAGUUUUAGGUUUAGAUUUACGUUUAUUUCAUUCCAAAGCAAGACAUUACAAAUAAUAUGUUUGUGUGUGAGACAAAUUCAAGCAAUACAUUAAAAACAAUAUGUUGUGUGUGUGUGUGUGUGUACAUGAGUCUGGCAUAUACUUAUUACAUUGGAAUAUAAUUGUUUUGGAACUCAUGGGUUUUUGAUCCUCUUAAUGAACCUGUUGGUGUUAUCAUCUAAAAAUCCAUUGCAUCAUUUUUAAACUGGGUUCAAAUGAACAAAUUUCUCCUUUUGUUCAGUUGGUAAUUAUAUCGCCUCUGUAAUUAUCCUACCAGUGUAGUUCACUCUUAGACAUACUGUGGAUCCUUGUGAAAUCCAUCUGUGUUAUAUAGGGCACAUCUGCAACACUCCUGUCAUGCAGAGCUGCAAGAAUGUGAAUGCAACAAACACGACCUCGAGCACUCAUGAACAGGAUAUCCAUCCUCUCACAUUCAUCUGCACUCUUCUCAUCCCCAAAGGAAUGUGCAUAUAUUACCUUUUAACAUUACAGGUGAGCUUUGCUUUUCACAGAUAAUUGUGCAGAAAUUUCCAAAGUUGCCAAUUAGCAUUAACAAAAGAUUUAGGAUUAAGUGUAAGAACCCAAACACACAACACAAGAUAAUUAUAUCAAUUUGUCAUGAGAAAUCAAAACAGAUAAUUUUAGGAUCAUUUGACCCAGAGUGUUUUACUGACACAUUGGUGAAAACAAAAGAUGCAUACAUACACACACACAUUAUGCUAAUAAGUUAUUUGAGAAGUUAAUUGCAUAGAUGUACUGUAUGUAAUCAUGAAAGAUUCAUUCUGGCUUAUGCAAGCAUCUGUGUUGUGAUUUAAAAAUGCAAAACUGAUUUAUUGGACUAUAUAAACUGUGAUAAACAUUAAACAUUUGGUACUAUGCAAAUAAUCUGUAAUUAUAUUACUAAGUACUUAUGGUAUCCAGUAUUCCGUGUUUUUAAUAGACUACUAAAAUGCUGUGGGUGGUUUCCUCCCACCAAAUGUUACUUAUAAAUAUAUACAUACAAAUACUGAUAAUGCAUGGAUUGUAUUUGUUUAGGAAAGGCUUCUCUUCUUAAUGAACAAGACCUGUGCUUAUAAAAUGUCCUCAGUUUCCUCCACAGUGUCUCUGGGACAGCAGCAACUGCAGCACCGUCUGAUCCAGUGCAGUAGCCGCAAUCUCCGUGAAGUUGGCCCGACUAUGCCUCCUCUCUGGGAUUCUCCUUUCGCUCCUUUCUCCCUCUCUUCACUCAGGGCAUGCACAGAAAUCUCCAUCCUUCCACCGACUCUUUCCAUCUGUUCAGUCGUCACUCUUUGAGCUCCUCCAAUCUGCUCUCCAUCUCCUUCCAGCAUCAGCGUUUGCACGGCUCUGUCCGUCACCCGUCUGAAUCUGUCCACUCUUAGAGCUGCAUCACUAAUGAGGCGCUCCAUAAUCUCCAAGUGCUGACUACUUGUUUCUGUUUCUUCACUCUUCAGUCGAUUGAUUUCAAUCAGCAUACACUCCCUUAACAGAAGUAUUUCCUUUUCCUUUUCUAUGAGCAUGAGUCUGUCAGUUUCCCUCUCAUGCUGGAGGGCUUCAUUAUAUCUUUCCAUUUCAGCUUUCCGUAGCUCCAACUCGAUUUGUUCUCUUUGCAUUCCCAGUCUUUCCAGUUCCUUCCUCUGUAUGUCUUGUAAUCUGUUCUUUAGUUCAUCUUUCAUUUCCUGUAUUCUCCUUUUCAUUGCAUCUAUCUCUUCAUACUGUGGUGGAGCAUCUCUUUCCUGGUCUUCAGUUUGUGUCUCUUGAGUUCUCUUCUGCUUAACAUCCUCUGUAUGUUCUUGAAUGGAUUUUGUAGUUGCCAUUACUUCAUGAUCUUCUUGUUCACUCUGAAUAUUAGUUUCCUGUUGAGUCUUCUCAGUCCUUGUCUGUCUUUGUAUGUCAGUCUCAAUUUGUUGCAGUUCUCUUCUUUUGCAUUCAUAGCUUUGUGUGAGAUGAUCAAUCUCCUUGGUAAGUCUCAGUACCUCAGCUUGAACCUUCUCCAGGCUGUUCCUCCUCCUCUCGAGACUCUCCAUGAUCACUGACUUUUCUUCUUCAGCGGUUUUACAUUCAUCCCUCAAUUUAUGCAGGUGAUCCUUUGCCUUCUCCAUCUCAAGAAGGCCAGUUUGUAUGAUCUUCAUUUUAUUCUCCAUUUCGUCAUGUUGCCUCUGUAGUUCAGCUCUCAUGAUGUUUAGCUCAUCUCGUUCUAGGGUUGUGCCAUCCAUUAGCUGAAGAACUUCUCUUUGGGUGUCAGUUUUGUAGAUUUUUGCUUUUGUUUCUCCAUCUGUUUUGGCCCAAUGAAUCUCAGUCAGUUCCAGACUGCUGUCUCUGUCUGUCUUUUUCUCCUCUUUAGUGUCUUGUACUUGUUCCAAUGCUUUUUUGUAUGUGACUUUCUCAGCAUCCCUGUCACUUUUAACGGAAGUAUCAUCUGUUUUUCCCUUGAUUUUUAGUGUCUCCUGUUCAUUUUGCUUUUGUUGAAGCAACUCAUUUUCAAUGUUUUCCUUCUCUUCUUUCAGUGACCCUAUAGUCUCUUCCAGUUGUCCCAACUUUAUCACGAAUGCUUCUGUGAUGCUCUCUAUUUCCUUAUUUUUCUUCUCAAGGUUGUUUGAUAAAUCCUCCUUGUCUUGUGUAAGUUGUAGCAGUUUUUCUUCAUUUCUUGACUUCUCCUUCAUGACUUCCUUCAUAUUUCUCUCAAAGUCUUUUUUUGCUUGUUCCAGUUCAUGUCUCUCUUUUUUCAUCAUUGUCUUCAUUCUCUCCAAAUCUUCAAUUUCUUUGUUUAAAGAGUCCAUUAUUUCUUGCACUUCAGAUGGGUGUGUGUCUUUUGACUUGGCCACAGUGGGUUGUUUUUUCUUUGUUGCAGCCGUUUCAUCUUCUAAUUCCUUUUGUCUACCAUCAUCUGUUUUCUUAAAGUCAUCCAAAGAUGUUUGUGUUUCAGCAUCUACUGAGGUGGUCUUCAUCUGAUAUAUCUCAAGUUCAUCUGUUUUUUGUUUCUUUACUUCUACGUCCUCUCUUAGGACAUCAGCAUCCCUCUUUGAGUGAUCUUUUGUUUUCAUCUCUUCUGGUAAGCGAUGCAUUUCUACUUUCUGUCUCUUUAUUUGAAUCUCCAUGUUUAACAUCUCCAGUUCAGAUAAUUGUCUGUUUAUUUGCUUUUGCAGGUCCUCCAUUGUUCUUGUCUUUUCUUCUAUAAUGCCUUCCAUGUCCUCUUUUUCUUUCUGCAUCAUGUCUUUAUCUUGUUGCAGCAAAGUUCUCUCAUGUUGUAUGCUUUGUUUGCUGUCUUCAGCCUCUUUCUUCAGUCUGUUUAAAUCAGCUCUCUCCUUUUCGAUACGAUAUUUUUCACUUUCAUUUAUCUUUUUGCUGUUUUCAAUCUCCUUUUUGUCCCUUUGAAUGUCAUUAUUAAGCUUUUCAAGCUCUUCUUGUUUUGUCUGGAUAUUUUUAUUGAGCAUAUGUCUGUGUUCAUCAAGUUCAGACUUCUCUUUCUGAAGCACAUCUCUCUCUCGUUUGAUGACCACCAUGAUGUCUUCUAAUUCCUGCUGCUGUUGAUCUAAUGUGAGCUUUUUCUUUUCGAUCUGAUUUUUUUCCACCUCAAUUGUGUUCCUCAGUUCUUCUAGUUCAUCCAUCUGUUUCUGGAGAUCAGCCUGCAAUUCAGCAUCUGUCUUUUCUUCUUCAGUGUCCUCCUUGACCUUUUGUAAAGCAGCUUGGAUCUGUGUUUCACUCUCCACUGCUGUUUUUACAUCUUUCUUCUUUAUUUGGGUCUUGGCUUGCUGAUCAAUUUCUGUCAGUAAAUCUGCUCUUUUCUGAGUUAAAUUUUCCAUCUCUUUUUCAAACUGUUCUCUGUUUUCUGCCAUUUCUUGCUUGGACCUUUCAAUUUCAAAAUUUAAGCUUUGCAGUUCAUCUUUCUUUCUCUGGAUUUCUUUCUUCAAAGCAUCAGUCUCCUCUCUUUCCUUUCCAAGAGGAUCUGCUGUGAUUUUCUCAAGCUCAUCGGUCUGUUGCUUUGCAUCAACUUUGAUUUGAUCAAAAACAUUCUUCUGAUCUUCAAAUGUUUUGAUUUUUUCUUGUAGUUGUCGUCUGUCUUGUUCUAGAUGAGUUUUCAUGCUCUCUAAAUCAUUUCUCACUUUUCUGUUUUCAUUCAUCAAGCCAUCUACCUCUUGCUGCUGUUGAUUCAUAACAAUUUGCCUCUUUUCCAGCUGCAUUUUCUCAGCUAUCACAAUGUUUCUUAAGUUAUCUACAUCUUUUCUUUGCAUGUCAAGUUCUUUUUCUUUGUUUUCCAGAUCCUGUUCUUUAAGUCGUAUUUCAUUCUGUGUGCUUUCCACUGUCUCUCUUAGCUGUGUUAUAUCAGUAAUCUUCUGCUCCAAUGUCAGCCUCUCUUUGUGCAGUUCUUGCAUUGUCAAGUCAUUUUUUUCUUUUUGCUUUUGGAGAUCUUCUCUUAGAGCCUCAUUCUCUGCUUUGCUCUUCUCUAAGUUCUCUUUCUGUGUCUGAAGUUGCAGUAGAUCUGAUUGCAGAAGCUUUGUCUGCCUCUCGAUGUCGGCACGCAUAGUACUGAGCUCUUCUUCUUUCCUUCUCAUGUCAUCCAGUCUCUUUGGAAUGUUCUCUUGGUCUUUACUGAUUUGAGAGGUGAUUCGGUCAGUUUUCCUGAUUUCCUCAUUAAGAUUUUCAGACUUUCUUUGUAAAUCUGCCUUGAUCUCCUCCAGAGAGUCUUUUUCUUUUUGAAUAUUUUGUUUGUCAUUGUUCAUUUGCACAAUGUUGCUGUCCAGUUGAGAUUUUUUAUUUUCAGUUUCGUUCAUUAACUGCUUCAGCAUUUUCUUUUCCUCUUCAAUGCUCUUCUUCUCCAACUGUAACUCGGUUUUUAAUUGAUCCAUUUCAUGUUUUUCUGUUAACAGUCUGUCCAGCAUAUCUUUCUUCUCUUCCUCAGAUUUAUUUCUCAAUUGCUCUAGGUCUUCCAACUCACUCUUGAUGGUUUUCAGAAUGUUUUCCAUCUCUUGCUUUUCUUGUUUUACUUCUGCUUUCUCUCUGUCAAGUUCAAUUUUCUCUCUUUCUAAGAUAUUCCUUAGCUCUUCUACUUUGGUUUUCUGUUUCUGUAUAUCUGCUUCGCAUAGAGUUACUUUCUCUCUCUUAUUUUCCAUUUCAGUGGUUUUCCUUUCUAGCUCAGCAUUCAUUUUCUCCAAAGCCUUUCUUUCUCUUUGCAUGUCAUUCUCUUUGAUUUCAAAAUCCUCUUGCUGUUUUCUGAUUAUUUUCUCUAGCUCUUCAUGUUUAGUCUGUAUUUCUGCAUUCAUCUGUUCAAUUUGAUUCCUUUCUUUUGCUAACCUCACCUUGACAUUUUCUAUGUCUUCUAACUGUCUCUGUAUCUCAACUUCAGCAUGCUUCUCUCUUCUUUUGUUUUCCUCUGCUAGUUUAUCCAUAUCUUCUCUUUCUUUUUGUUGUUGAAUAACUAAAGCAUUUAGAUUUUCCCUCUCUUUUUGUAAGUCCUUCAUAAUUUUCUCUAGAGCAUUUGUCUCGUGUUGAAUCUCAGUCCUUAUGUCUUCUAAUUUUUGUUUUUCAAGCUUGAUCUCUUCUUUUUGGUCAUUUAAUUGGGUUUGCAUCUUUUCAAUAUGUUCCAUCUCUCUAUUAAUUCUCUCUUUGGUGGUUUCAACGUCCUCUUUCUCUUUCAGCAAUUGAUCAUUCAGAUGUGCUAGUCUUUUUCUCUCAGUUUUUAAGACUUGCAUGUCCUCGUCAUCUUGUCUGGACCUUUCAGUGGCUACCUGUGUCUCAACCCACUUUAUUUCUGCAGCUUUCCCAAUGUCUUCCACUUGUUGUUUGUGUUUGUUUAUUUCACACCUCUCUUGUUCUAGCUCACUCUUCUCCAUUGUCACUUCAUUCAUCAUUUCUUCUAGGUCUUUUGUCUGCUUUUGAAUUUGUUCUUUCAUGUGCAGCAGCUCGUCUCUUCUCAUUCUUAAAUCUUCAUUUUCCUUUUUAAUUUGUUCACGUUCUUCAGCCAUCUCAUCCUUAAAUUUCUCCAGAUUUUUCUUCUCUGCCUCUCUCUCCUCUGUUUUGAACUGUAGAUUUUCUAAUUCCUUAAGCUUAAUAUUCAGUUCAUUCACCAUGUCCUGUAAUCUCAUUUCUGCUUCUCUCUUUUCUUUUUCUAGAAACUGACAAGUGCUUUUCAAUUCUGAUUUUUCUCUGUUCAAAUUGUCAUUCAUCUGUUCCAGGUCAUCCUUCUGUCUCUUGGUUUCAUUGAGGAUUGCUUCAAUCUGGAUAAUUUUAUCUUGUAAGAUCUUAUCACUGUCCGUGACCCUUAUUUCUGCAGCCAUUUGCUGCAUUUCAGCUUUCUUCUUUUCCAGCUCACCCUUCUCUCUUGUUAUAAUGUCCAUCAUGUUUUCAAUUUCUCUCUGCUCAUUCUGGAGGUCGGCUUUCAUCCUUUCUAUUUCAUCUUUCUCUUCUUUUAAUGUGUGCAUAACACUGUGAGUUUCAUCAUAUUGCACUUCUGCAUUGGUUUUCUGUGGUUCCUCUUUCUGCAAAUCUGUUUUUAUUUGCUCCAGUUCAUGUUUUUCUCUCUCACAUUCCCUUUGUAUCUUCUGAAUUUCUUCUCUUUCAUUGUCAAUUUCAGUCUUCAUUUUUUCAAAUUCUGCUCUCCUUUGAUGAAGCUCUUUUUGUCUCCGUUCUUCAGUGUGCUCCAUUUCUUCUUGCUUUGUUUUCAUUUCCUCCUCAAUCUGUUUAAUCUUGUUUAUCCUUUUAUUCGCCUCAGUCAUAAUAAUUUUAAACUCUUCCUGUUCUUUGAAAAGUUGAGCUGCCAUUUCUUCUACCCUUUUCUUUUCUUUCAGUACAUCAUCCAAAAGUCUUUCUAUGUCCUCUGCUCUCCUUAACCUUGAUUCCAGCUUGUCUCUUUCUGUCUCUGUGUUUUGUUUCAUAAGCCUAAACUCCUCUUUAUGUGUCUCCAGAUCGAUUCUCAUUCUAUUCAGUUCAUUUCUUUCUGAGUUCAGCAUUGCCUGACGCAUCUCCAUUUCCAUUUGCUCCUUCUGCAGCCCAGUGAGUAUUUUUUCAACUUCAUCCCUCUCCUUUCUUAAUGCUUCCUUUUGGUUCUGUAUUUCCUCCAGGUGUCUUUUUAUAUACUCCUCUCUCUCUGGAAGUAUUUCAGUUAACUCGUGUUCCUCCAUUUCUUUGGUGUCCACCAUCUCUUGUCUCUUUCGUUUUAGCUCUGUAUUUAUGAAGUCCAACUCCUCUUGUCUCUGUUUCAUCUCAGCAGAGAUGGUUUCCAUUUCUCUCUUCUUUUUUUGUAGUUGAAAUUCCAUGUUUUCUAUUUUCUCCUGUUUGCUCUUGAUCUCCAUUAGAAUUUUUUCCAUGUCCAUCUUAAUUUGAUCUUGAGUCAUUUCUAACUCAGAUCUUUCAUUUUCCAUAUUCUGUCUGCAUAACUCCAUCUCUUCAUAUUGUUUCUCCAGAUUCUUCCUCUCUCUGUCAGUGUGUUGUCUCAUUGUCUCAAUCUCUUUCUGGUCUCUCUGUAAAACAAGUCUUGUCUUUUCUAGUUCCCUCUUCUCAGUCAUCAACAUUUCAGUAAGGCCAUCCACUUCAUCUUUAUUGAACUCCAACUUUACUGUCAUGGAUGGAUCAGCUAUAUCUUUAUAUUCUGUUGUCAGUGCAGUGUCUUCUUGGCUCGAGUCCAUUUUGGUUUCUUCACUUCUCAUUUUGAGCUCUGUGUCCUCCUGAUCUCUCAUUCUCUCUAAUUCGUCUUCCAUCCCUUUUGUCAUGAAAGUUGUAUAUUCCUUAUGAAUGCCUGUGUGUUCCUCAACAAUCUGUUCCUGAGGGGCUGAAAUGUUACCUACAGGAAUGUUGUCUAGAUCAGAUGUUUGUGUAGCAGAACUAACCAAAAUUAAUUCCAGCCUCUGUGUUGGUUGUUUUCUCUUCAUCUCGUCCAUUGCCUCUCUCUGAUGUUCAAGGAUUUUUUUGUUUCUUUCAAGUGCUUCCCUUUCCCUUUGAAUCUCGGACAAGAGUCUGUUGGCUUCAUCUAUCUGUAUCUGUUUUCCUUGAGAGGCCAUUUCUUCUCUCUUCUGUUGAAGAAGCUGUCCAGAUAGAUGUUCUUCUUUUAAUGUUUCAGACACAUCUUUCUCUUUUUCUAACUGUUGUGUCUGCUCUUUCAUGAUCUCUGUUUUAUCAGUCUGUCUCUUGAUUUCAGCCUUGGACUGUUCCAGAUCUUGCCUCUCAUCUUGCACUAUUUGCAAUUCCAGUUUGAUUUGCUCUUCUUGAGCAUUGAGUUCGGCUUUUGUUUGAUCCAUUUCCUUCUUUAGAUGGUCUAUCAUAUCCUUGCUCCUAUCAGUUUCUUUUUGUUCUAUCAAUAUCUUGGCCAUCAGUUGAUCAAGUUCCUCUCUCUCCAUCUUUGCUUUUACUCUCAUUUCUUCUUCCAUUUGUUGUCUGUAUUUUUCAAAAUCAUUUCUCAUGUUCUCUAGAUCUCUUCUCUCCUCAUUCACAACUCUUAUACUCUCCUCCAGUCUUUGCUGCUGUUGAUUAAUUUCAGCCUUUUCAGUCUGUAAGUCAUUUUUGAUUUCUUCAAUUUCGUCUCUUUGUUUUUGCAAUUUCUUCUGGAGAACAUCCAGCUCAUUCCACUUCUUCAUCUUGUCGUCUUUUUCUUUCUCUAAUUCAUUUCUCUGUCUCAAGAUUUCACCAGCCUUGUGCUCAAGAAGCUUCUUCUCUUCAUCCAUUGAUCUUUUACUCAUCUCUUCUUUUUCUUUUUGUUCUGUCAUGUGCUUCUCUAGGUCAUCAGCCCUUCUUUGCAAAUCUUCUCUUUCCUUUUCAAUGUUAUUUCUAUCUUUUUCCAGAAGAUUUUUCUCUGUCUCAAACUUUUGAUUUUGUUGUGAUAUAUCAAACAUGAUUUUCUCUAAUUCACCCCUUCUCCUGUUUGUUUCUUCUAUGACUCUUUCAUAUUCCUUAUUAGCCUGUUUAAGUUUUUCUUCCAUUUCUGUUUUUUCAUCUUUCUUUCUGGUGUCCUCCAGAACAUUCCUCAUAGACUCAGUCUUUGACUGUUCAUAUUCAUAAAUUCUCUGUUGUAAUUCUGUCAAUUUAUGAUUCAUUUCUUCUCUUUCUUUUUCUAGAAGGUCUCUGCAGUUCUUUAACUCUUGUUUUUGUUUAUUUAUAUCUGUGUUCAUCCUUUCCAGAUCUUCUUUUUGUCUGUUUGUUCUUUCAGUGACACUCUCAAUUUCUUCCUUUUCCUUUUGUAGAUGAGCUUCCUUUUCUUUCAUUGUUUGUCUCUCCUUAUUAAUUUCCUCUUCCAUGUAUUGCACUCGUUCACUUUCUUUUUGCAGUUCUGUCUUUAUUUGAGACAGAAAAUCUUUUUCAUCAUUGAUCUUUUGUCUCUCAAGUUCAAUUUCUUCUUCAUGAAGUUUAAUAUUAUUUCUCUUUUCUUCCUCCUCAUUCAAUAAUUUCUGUACAUUUUCUUUGCUUUUCUCAAUAUUAGAUUUUUCUAGAUCUGUCUGUUUUAUUUUGUUGUCAAGUUCUGAUCUCUCUUCUUCUAUUUGUUUUCUUUGUAACAUUACUUCAGACCACAUCUUCUCAAGGUCAUUUCUUUUCUGUUCAAUGAUCUUUUUGGCAUCAUUAAUUUUCUUCUGCUCAUGAUCUAUUUUAGUUUUCUCUCUUUCCAGUUCACUCUUUAUCUGACCAAAUUCUUCUCUCUCCAUCUUUUCUUUUACCAUCCUUUCUUCUUCUUUCUCUUGUUCUUUCUUAAUAUGUUCUUGCAGUGUACACAACUCUUGCAUUUUUAGGCAUAUGUCUUGAUGUUCCUGCUCAGCUUUAGUUUUCAGCUUUUGAAUCUUGACUUUGGUCUCUUCUAGACCUUUUCUUUCUUCUUCUAUUUCCUUUUGUUCUGUUAGAUAUUCUUCCUUCUGUUUGCUGACUUGAGCAUCAAAUGCAUUCAUUCUCAGUUGUAACACUGUCCAUUUAUGGUUUAUUUCUUCUCUUUCUUGUUCUAGAAGGUCUCUGCUGUUCUUCAACUCUUGUUUUUGUUUAUCCAGAUCCUCUUUCUGUCUCUUUGUUUCUUCAGUGACACUCUCUAUGUCUUCCUUUUCCUUUUGUAGAUGAGCUUCCAUUUCCUUCAGUGUUUCUCUCUCCUUCUUUAUUCCCUCCUCCAUGUAUUUGAUUUGUUCGCUUUCAUUUUGCAGUUCUGCCUUACUUUGAGCUAAAAUUAAUUUUUCAUCAGUGAUCUUUUGCCUUUCGAGGUCAAGUUCUUCUUUCUGGAGUUUAAUAUAAUUUCUCUGCCCUUCUACUUUAUCCAUUAAUUUCUGAACUAUUUCUUUGUUCUUUUCAAUUUCAUCCUUUUCUAGAUCAAUAUCUUGUAUUUUCUGGACAAGUGCUGAUUUCUCUAGUUUGAUUGCUUCUCUCAUGUCUUCCAUUUGCUUUCUUUCUGUCAUAAUGUCAGACCUUAUCUUUUGGAGGUCUUUUCUUUCCUGUUCAAACAUCUUCUUAUCAUUGUCCAUUUCAGUUUUCUCUCGUUCCAGUUCCCUUAUUAUCUGAUCAAGUUCUUCUUUCUCUAUCUUUGCUUUUACUCUCAUUUCUUCUUCUUUCACUUUUUCUUUAAUAAAAUGUUCUUGCAGAGUGUUCAACUCUUGUAAUUGUUGGCUUAUGUCUUGUUGUUCCUGCUCAGCUUUAGUCUUCAGCUCCAUGAUCUUGACUUUGGUCUGUUCUAGACCUUUUCUUUCUUCUUCCAUCUCAUUCUGUUUCAUGAAAUCUUGUUCCUUCUGUUGCCUGGCUUGAGUAUCAAAUUCAUCAAUUCUCUGUUGUAACUCUGUCCAUUUAUGGUUUAUUUCUUCUCUUUCUUGUUCUAGAAGGUCUCUGCUGUUCUUCAUCUCUUGUUUUUGUUUAUCCAGAUCCUCUUUCUGUCUCUUUGUUUCUUCAGUGACACUCUCAAUGUCUUCCUUUUCCUUUUGUAGGCGAGCUUCCAUUUCCUUCAGUGUUUCUCUCUCCUUCUUUAUUCCCUCCUCCAUGUAUAUGUUUUGUUCAGUUUGUUUUUGCAGCUCUGUCUUACUUUGAGCUAGAAUUAAUUUUUCAUCAGUGAUCUUUUGUCUUUCGAGGUCAAGUUCUUCUCUUUGGAGUUUCAUAUAAUUUCUCUGCUCUUCUACUUUAUCCAAUGAUUUCUGAACUAUUUCUUUGUUCUUUCCAAUUUCAUCCUUUUCUAGAUCAAUAUCUUGUAUUUUCUGGACAAGUGCUGAUCUCUCUAGUUUGAUUGCUUCUCUCAUGUCUUCCAUUUGCUUUCUUUCUGUCAUGAUGUCAGACCUUAUCUUUUGCAGGUCUUUUCUUUCCUGUUCAAUCAUCUUCUUAUCAUUGUCCAUUUCAGUUUUCUCUCGUUCCAGUUCCUUUAUUAUCUGAUCGAGUUCUUCUCUCUCUAUCUUUGCUUUUACUCUCAUUUCUUCUUCUUUCUCUUUUUCUUUCAUAAUAUGUUCUUGCAGUGUGUUCAACUCUUGUAUUUUUAGUCUUAUGUCUUGUUGUUCCUGCUCAGCUUUAGUCUUCAGCUCCAUGAUCUUGACUUUGGUCUGUUCUAGACCUUUUCUUUCUUCUUCCAUCUCAUUCUGUUUCAUGAAAUCUUGUUCCUUCUGUUGCCUGGCUUGAGUAUCAAAUUCAUCAAUUCUCUGUUGUAACUCUGUCCAUUUAUGGUUUAUUUCUUCUCUUUCUUGUUCUAGAAGGUCUCUGCUGUUCUUCAUCUCUUGUUUUUGUUUAUCCAGAUCCUCUUUCUGUCUCUUUGUUUCUUCAGUGACACUCUCAAUGUCUUCCUUUUCCUUUUGUAGGCGAGCUUCCAUUUCCUUCAGUGUUUCUCUCUCCUUCUUUAUUCCCUCCUCCAUGUAUAUGUUUUGUUCAGUUUGUUUUUGCAGCUCUGUCUUACUUUGAGCUAGAAUUAAUUUUUCAUCAGUGAUCUUUUGUCUUUCGAGGUCAAGUUCUUCUCUUUGGAGUUUCAUAUAAUUUCUCUGCUCUUCUACUUUAUCCAAUGAUUUCUGAACUAUUUCUUUGUUCUUUCCAAUUUCAUCCUUUUCUAGAUCAAUAUCUUGUAUUUUCUGGACAAGUGCUGAUCUCUCUAGUUUGAUUGCUUCUCUCAUGUCUUCCAUUUGCUUUCUUUCUGUCAUGAUGUCAGACCUUAUCUUUUGCAGGUCUUUUCUUUCCUGUUCAAUCAUCUUCUUAUCAUUGUCCAUUUCAGUUUUCUCUUGUUCCAGUUCCCUUAUUAUCUGAUCGAGUUCUUCUCUCUCUAUCUUUGCUUUUACUCUCAUUUCUUCUUCUUUCUCUUUUUCUUUCAUAAUAUGUUCUUGCAGUGUGUUCAACUCUUGUAUUUUUAGUCUUAUGUCUUGUUGUUCCUGCUCAGCUUUAGUCUUCAGCUCCAGGAUCUUGACUUUGGUCUGUUCUAGACCUUUUCUUUCUUCUUCCAUCUCAUUCUGUUUCAUGAAAUCUUGUUCCUUCUGUUGCCUGGCUUGAGUAUCAAAUUCAUCAAUUCUCUGUUGUAACUCUGUCCAUUUAUGCUUUAUUUCUUCUCUUUCUUGUUCUAGAAGGUCUCUGCUGUUCUUCAUCUCUUGUUUUUGUUUAUCCAGAUCCUCUUUCUGUCUCUUUGUUUCUUCAGUGACACUCUCAAUGUCUUCCUUUUGCUUUUGUAGACAAGCUUCCAUUUCCUUCAGUGUUUCUCUCUCCUUCUUUAUUCCCUCGUCCAUGUAUUUGUUUUGUUCAGUUUGUUUUUGCAGCUCUGUCAUACUUUGAGCUAGAAUUAAUUUUUCAUCAGUGAUCUUUUGUCUUUCGAGGUCAAGUUCUUCUUUCUGGAGUUUAAUAUAAUUUCUCUGCUCUUCUACUUUAUCCAUUAAUUUCUGAACUAUAUCUUUGUUCAUUUCUGUCUCAUCCUUUUCUAGAUCAAUUUCUUGCAUUUUCUGGUCAAGUGCUGAUCUCUCUAGUUUGAUUGCUUCUCUCAUGUCUUCCAUUUGCUUUCUUUCGGUCAUGAUGUCAGACCUUAUCUUUUGCAGGUCUUUUCUUUCCUGUUCAAACAUCUUCUUAUCAUUGUCCAUUUCAGUUUUCUCUCGUUCCAGUUCCCUUAUUAUCUGAUCAAGUUGUUCUCUCUCUAUCUUUGCUUUUACUCUCAUUUCUUCUUCUUUCACUUUUUCUUUCAUAAUAUGUUCUUGCAGUGUGUUCAACUCUUGUAAUUGUUGGCUUAUGUCUUGUUGUUCCUGCUCAGCUUUAGUCUUCAGCUCCAGGAUCUUGACUUUGGUCUGUUCUAGACUUUUUCUUUCUUCUUCCAUCUCAUUCUGUUUCAUGAAAUCUUGUUCCUUCUGUUGCCUGGCUUGAGUAUCAAAUUCACCAGCUCUCUGUUGUAACUCUGUCCAUUUAUGCUUUAUUUCUUCUCUUUCUUGUUCUAGAAGGUCUCUGCUGUUCUUCAUCUCUUGUUUUUGUUUAUCCAGAUCUUCUUUCUGUCUCUUUGUUUCUUCAGUGACACUCUCUAUGUCUUCCUUUUGCUUUUGUAGACAAGCUUCCAUUUCCUUCAGUGUUUCUCUCUCCUUCUUUAUUCCCUCCUCCAUGUAUUUGUUUUGUUCAGUUUGUUUUUGCAGCUCUGUCUUACUUUGAGCUAGAAUUAAUUUUUCAUCAGUGAUCUUUUGUCUUUCGAGGUCAAGUUCUUCUUUCUGGAGUUUCAUAUAAUUUCUCUGCUCUUCUACUUUAUCCAUUAAUUUCUGAACUAUUUCUUUGUUCUUUCCAAUUUCAUCCUUUUCUAGAUCAAUAUCUUGUAUUUUCUGGACAAGUGCUGAUCUCUCUAGUUUGAUUGCUUCUCUCAUAUCUUCCAUUUGCUUUCUUUCUGUCAUGAUGUCAGACCUUAUCUUUUGGAGGUCUUUUCUUUCCUGUUCAAACAUCUUCUUAUCAUUGUCCAUUUCAGUUUUCUCUCGUUCCAGUUCCCUUUUUAUCUGAUCAAGUUGUUCUCUCUCUAUCUUUGCUUUUACUCUCAUUUCUUCUUCUUUCAAUUUUUCUUUCAUAAUAUGUUCUUGCAGUGUGUUCAACUCUUGAAAUUGUUGGCUUAUGUCAUGUUGUUCCUGCUCAGCUUUAGUCUUCAGCUCCAGGAUCUUGACUUUGGUCUGUUCUAGACCUUUUCUUUCUUCUUCCAUCUCAUUCUGUUUCAUGAAAUCUUGUUCCUUCUGUUGCCUGGCUUGAGUAUCAAAUUCAUCAAGUUUCUGCUGUAACUGUGUCCAUUUAUUGUUCAGUUCUUCUCUCUCCUGCUCUAGAAGAUCUCUGUAUUUACUCAACUCUUGUUUUUGUUCAUUUAUGUUUGUGCUAAUCUUUUCCAGAUCCUCUUUCUGUCUCUUUGUUUCUUCAGUGACACUCUCAAUGUCUUCCUUUUGCUUUUGUAGACAAGCUUCCAUUUCCUUCAGUGUUUCUCUCUCCUUCUUUAUUCCCUCCUCCAUGUAUUUGUUUUGUUCAGUUUGUUUUUGCAGCUCUGUCUUACUUUGAGCUAGAAUUAAUUUUUCAUCAGUGAUCUUUUGUCUUUCAAGGUCAAGUUCUUCUUUCUGGAGUUUUAUAUAAUUUCUCUGCUCUUCUACUUUAUCCAUUAAUUUCUGAACUAUUUCUUUGUUCUUUUCAGUUUCAUCCUUUUCAAGAUCAAUCUCUUGCAUUUUCUGGUCAAGUGCUGAUCUUUCUAGUUUGAUAGUCUCUUUCAAGUGUUUUUCCAUUUGUUCUCUUUCUGUCAUUGUUUCAGACCGCAUCUUCUCCAGGUCUUCUCUUUCCUUUUUAAUCAUCUUCCUGUCGUUGUCCAUUUCAGUUUUCUCUUGUUCCAAUUCCCUCUUUAUCUGGUCAAGUUCUUCUCUUUCCAUCUUUGCUUUUACUCUCAUUUCUUCUUCUUUCUCCUUUUCUUUCAUUAUAUGUUCUUGCAGUGUGUUCAACUCUUGUAUUUUUAGGCUUAUGUCUUGUUGUUCCUGCUCAGCUUUAGUCUUCAACUCCAGGAUCUUGACUUUGGUCAGUUUUAGACUUUUUCUUUCUUCUUCCAUCUCCUCCUGUUUUAUUAAAUCAUUUUCCUUCUGUUGUCUAACUUGAGUUUCAAAUUCAUCAAUUCUCUGCUGUAACUGUAUCCAUUUAUUGUGUAUUUCAUCUUUCUCUUGCUCUAGAACCUCUCUGUAUUUUCUCAGCUCUUGUUUUUGUUCAUUUAUAUUUGUGCUCAUCAUUUCCAGAUUUUCUUUUCGUCUAGUCGUUUCUUCAGUGACACUCUCAAGUUCUUCCUUUUCCUUUUGUAAAAGAGCUUCCAUUUCUUUCAGCGUUUCUCUCUCUUUCUUUAUUACCUCUUCCAUGCAUCUGAUUUCUUCACUCUCUUUUUGCAGUUUAGUCUUUAUUUGAGCCUGAAGAUCUUUUUCAUCAUUGAUCUUUUGUCUCUCAAGUUCAUGUUUUUCUUCAUGGAGUUUAUUAUAAUUUCUCUGUUCUUCUACCUCAUCUAGUAUCUUCUGUACAAUUUCUUUGCUCUUCUCAAUGUCACAUUUUUCUAGAUCAGUCUGUUUUAUUUUGUUGUCAAGGUUUGAUCUCUCUUCUUCUAUUUGCUUUCUUUGUAACAUUAUUUCAGACCUCAUUUUCUCCAGGUCAUUUCUUCCCUGUUCAAUAAUAUUUCUGUCAUCAUAUAUUUUCUUCUGCUCAUGAUUUAUUUCAGUUUUCUGUCUUUCCAGAUCACUCUUCAUCUGAUCAAGUUCCUCUCUCUCCAUCUUUAGUUUUACUCCCAUUUGUUGUCUAUAUUCUUCAGAUUCAUUCCUCAUAUUCUCCAGAUCUCUUCUCUCCUCAUUCACAGCUCUUAUACUCUUCUCCAGGCUUUGCUGCUGUUGAUUAAUUUCAGCCUUUUCAGUCUGUAACUCAUAUUUGAUUUCUUCCAUUCCGUCUCUUUGUUUUUCUAAUGUCUUCCGGAGAACAUCCAGCUCAUUCCACUUCUUCAUAAUGUCCUCUUUUUCUUUCUCUAUUUCAUUUCUCUGUCUCAAGAUUUCACCAGCCUUUUCCUCAAGAAGCUUUUUCUCAUCAUCCAUUGAUCUUUUACUCAUCUCUUCUUUUUCUUUUUGUUCUGUCAUGUUCAUCUCCAGGUCAUCAGCUCGUCUUUGCAAUUCUUCUUUUUCCUUUUCAAUGUUAUUUCUCUCUUUUUCCAGAUGGUCUUUCUCAGUCUUAAUCAGUUGAUUUUGCUCUUCUAUGUCAUCAAUAGUCUUUUCUAGUUCACUUUUCUUCCUCUUAUUUUCUUCCAUGGUAUUGGCACAUUGAUCCAUCAUUUGUUUAAGGUGGGACUCCCUUAUCUCCAUAUUUUCUUGCUCUCUUUUGAUCUCUUCUAAGACGUUUUUCAGAUUUUCAGCAUCAUUCUGCAUCUCAGAUUUUGUCUGGUCAACCAGUUUUCUUUCCUUUUGGAGUUUUUCUGCUUCAGUUUGGAUCACUUCUUGUUGUUCCACCAGCUUGGCUUUCGUGAUUUCCAGAUCUUUCGUUAACUUGUUAAUCAUGUUCCUGUUUUCACCAAUGUCUUCUUUUUCUCUUUGUAUUUCAUCUCUCAGUUGUGAAAGUUCUUCUUCCUGCUUUGCAAUAGUCUUCAUGUCCUCUUGCAUUCUUUGUCUCUGAGCUUCUAGUUCAGUCCUCAACUUAUCCAUUUCCCUUCUUUCUUCCGCUAUCUCUCUUACACUUUGAUCCAGUCUUUGCUGCUGCUCAGUAAUAUAUUUCUCUCUCUGCUCCAGCUCAGUCUUCUGAAUUAUCACUCUUUGUCUCAUUGAUUCUAUUUCAUCAUUUACCAUAUUUAUAUCAGCUUUCUCUUUUUCAGUUUGUUCUCUCUCAGUAAGAAGCUCUAUCUUAAUUUUUUCCAGUUUUUCUCUUUCUUUCUCUAGCUCUUCUAACUGGACUUGAACCUGAUCUUUCUGUUGUGUAGUCCAGAUCUGCAGAUCAUCUUUUUUCCGCUUCAUUUCUAUAUUUUCAUUGUCUAUUUCAUGCCGUAUCUUCUUAAGCAACUCAAAGUCCUUAUUGAUUUCUUGUUUUUGCAGUUCUAUAUCAACCUGCAUCUCUUCAAGGGCAUGUUGUCUCGUAUUGGUUUCCUCAUGAACUUUAUCUAAAUGUUCCUGUUCAGUGUGAAGCUGAGCAGCAAUUCCAUCUAAUUCUAUAUUUCUCUUCUCUACUUCCCUUUCCUUCCUCUGUAUGUUUAGCUCUUUUUCAUCAAGAGCAUUCUGCUUGUCUUGCAUGAGUUGCUUUUGUAGUUUAAUUGACUGAAUCUGAUGGUGUAUUUCAGCUUGCAUUUGUUCAACCUUGUCUCUUUCUUUGUUGGUCAUGUAUUUUGUGUUUUCCAUUUCUUCUUUGGCCUUCUGAAGUAUUUGCUUCUCUUCAUUCAUUUUUAUGAUGUUAAGCUGCAAUAUCUGUUUCUGCUGUUCAGUUUCAAAUCUCUGUUUUUCCAGAUCUUCUCUCUCUUUUUUGUUUUCCUCACUGGUUUGAUCAUUCUGUCGCUGCUGGUUGAGUACCUCGACUUGCCGUUCCUCAAUGCUUGAUUUUUCCAUAAUAAGUUUGUUCUUCAAAAUUUCAUUUUCAUUUUGCUUGUUCUUUAUCUCUGCUCUUAAAGCUUCUAGUUUGUUUCUUAACGUCAUCAAGUUAUCCCUCUCUUCCUCUGUUUCUUGUUUUUCACGAAGAAGUUCUUCCUUCAUCUCCUCAAGGGCCAGUCUGUCCUUUUGUAUCUGCUCAAUCUGGCCCAUCAUUUGUUUUUCCAAGUCUUUCUUUUCUUUGUCAAUAUCUGUCUUUUCUUUGUCAAUUUCUGUCUUUUCCUUUUCAAGCAUCACUUUUGUUUUCUCAAUUUCUUGCUUUUGUCUCUCCAUCUCCUUUAUCAUCUUAUCAAGAUCCCUCAUUUUCAUUUCAGUCUCUUCAGACAAACAUUUAAUUUCUUCUCUGUCUUUAUCUAGUUGAACUUUAAUUUCUCUUUCUUUCUCCUUUAGGUUGGUGUCUAUUAUUAUCAUUUUAUCUGUUUGUAUCUUUAUCUCAGCUUUUGUCUUUUCAAGAUUAAAUUUAUCAUCUUGAAGUCGUUGAUUAUCCUUUUCGAUUUCUACUUUUGUUCUCUCCAGGUCAACCCUCAUUUGCAAUAAUUCUUCCAUUUCUUUAUCAUUAUUUUCUUUCUUACUUUUAAUGUCAUCUCUAAUUAUUUGCAACUCACUGUGAAGUUUGUUAGUUUCUUCCCUCUGUCUCUCUAAUUGUCUGAUUUCUUCCUCCACUCUUUGCUUUUCACCCUCAAUUUCCAGCCAGCAUUUCUCUUGAUCCUUUCUUUCCUUCUUGAUAACAUUUUGGAUCUCUUUGGAUUCUGCUCUUAUUUGUUCUAGUGCAUUCUUCUCAUCUUGUACAUUCAGUUUCUCAUGUCUUAGAUUUUGUAAUUGCUUCUCCAGAUCAUUUUUCAUGCUUUCAAGUUCAGCCUUCUCUUGAUCCAUCAACUUUUUGCUGAUUUCAAGCUGCUCUUUUUCUUUCUGUAUUUCUUCAGUCAGCUUUCGGUAUUCAUUGCAUUCUCUUGUAAUUGUUUCAUCCAUUUCCAUUAAUCGCUGUCUCUCCUCUUGAAUUUCGGCCUCCUUUCUUUCCAAAUUACUUUGAAUCUCCUUCUUGAUUUUAUACAUUUCAUCUUGAAUCUGUUUUAGCUGCUGCUGCUCUUCCAUGAAAGUUUUUACUUUGUUUUCAAGCUCACUUUCCUUUCUUUGCAGUUCUUCUCGAAGUGUAUCCAGUUUCUGUUUUUCUGAAUGUACAGUUUUCUUCUCUUUGUCAACAUCAUCUCUUUCCUUCAGAAUAUCCACCUCCAUUUGCUCUAGAGCCUCUUUGUGAUUUUGAAUCUCUUGUUUCGCCAUCUCAUCUUGUUCUUUCUGCUGUAAGGCUUUUCUUUCCAGGUCCUCUGUUUCUCUCACUAACACUUCCCUCUUAAGCUGCAGAUAUGUCAUUUCCCUUUCAUAAACAUCUCUGUCGUUUUUCAGUUGUAUCUUAUCAUCUUGAAGUUUUGCACUCAUUAUACUGAGAUCUUUCUUCUUGGUCUCUAUUUCGGUGAUGAUAUUCUCUAUAUCUUCUCUUUGUGUUUGAAGUUUUAAACUGAGGUCUGUUAAUCUGUCCCUCUCGUUGUUUGCUUCCUGAAUGAGUCUGUCAGUGAUCUCUGACUUCUUCUGAAGCUCAGCAUUCUCUUGUUCAAUCAAAUGUCUCUCUGUGCUGACCAUCUGCUUCAUUUCUUCCACUUGCUCUUUUUCUUUGUUUAGUUCACUCUUCAUCUCCUGUAGUUUCUCCUCCAUUUUUGUAGCAUCAUGGAGUUUUUCAUCAAGUUUAGCCCUCUCGUUUUCUAGUUCAUUCCUCGUCUUUUCUAGAUUUUUCAGUUCCACAUCGUAAGCCUUCAUGGCAGCACUCACUUCAUGCCUUUGUUGAUUGAUUUCAGCUUGUUCAUCUUUGAACCAAUCCUUCUCCAUGAUCAAAGCAUGUUUUGAAGAUUCAACAUCAACUCUCUGUCUGUGUAGUUCACUUCUAGAGAGUUCCAGUUCUUGCUUCUCUUGCCUUAAAUUGUCCAUUUCUUUUUCUAUAUCUUCUUGCUUCCUCAGUAUUUCCAUGUUGAUCUUUUCAAGUGUAUCUUUCUUUUUCUCCAUUUCUUCAACAAUCCAACUUUUCUCUUCCAACUCAUGUUUCUGCUUCUCCAGUAUCCGCUCUCCCCUCUUUACUUCAGAAGUAAUGCCUUCCAGUUCAGCCUUUUUCUUUUCAUGCAGGGUUUUCAUGUCUUCCAUGGUUUGCCAUUGGUUUUGUAUGUCUCUGUUGAGCUGUUCCAGAUCACGCUUGUUUCUCAAGAGUUCCUUAGUGACCAUUUGCAGUUCUUCCUUGUUCUUUCUUGUAUCCUUAAACUCUUCCAUUAUUUCUUUAGCUAUUUCUACCUUAACCAGCUCUCUUUUGGUCUCCACAUCCUCCUUUUCUCUGUUUAUCUCAUCCUUCAACUGCUCCAGUUCUUCUUUUUCUUUCUGCAGCAUUUCUCUCAUGUUCUCUUCCACCUGUUGCUUUUCUGCAAGUUCUGCUCUCAUCUUCUCCAAUUCAUUCUUAUCUCUUCUGGUGGUUUCUAUCUCUUUUCUAAGGCUUCCAAGAUUUUCCCGUAUUUGUCCAAUAUCUUGAAUGAGCCUCUGGAUCUCAGACUUGAAGUUUUCCUUUUCAUCUCUCACCAACUUACUUUCCUCCAUCCUGCUCUCCAUGUCAACUUUAAGAUUUCUCACCAUUUCCCUGAUUUUUACAACCUCUAAAAUUAGUCUUUGGAUGUCAGCAUUGGUGCUUUCCUCAUCUUCUAGAUUCACAGUUUUCUCCACCAAUAGCUCAAAAUCCUCUCUUGCACAUUGAACAUCAUUUCUGAGUAUUUCCAGCUCCUGCCGCUCUCUGUUGAUCUCCUCUCUUUCCUUUGCUAUCUCAGUCUUCAUUUUCUCCACCUCAUCCCUCUUUCUUAUCACUUGUUUCAUCUUCUGGUCCAGAUCUUUCUUUUCUAGGAAUAUUUCAGACCUUAAGACUUCCAGUUCUCCCUUCUCAUGCAUCAUUUUCUGAAUCCUUGUUUCUAGGACUUCUCUCUGGCUCUGUAUAUCCAUCAGCUCCACCUCUCUAGUGUCCUUUUCAUGUUGUAAUAUCUCAGACCUCAUGUUUUCUAGCUCAUCCAUCUGAUGUUUUAAGCCUGCUUUAGUUUUCUGAAGUUCUACCUGCUGUUUAUCCAGCUCAGCCUUCAACUCUGUUAGUUUGUCUAUUUGUCUGUUAAUUUCAUCUGUCUGACUCUCACUCUCUUCUUGCUGGUCAUCCAUGCUUAAUGAUUCCAUUUUCUUCCUUAAUUCCUCUGAAUCUCUCCUCAUUUCUUUCUCUUUUCUGGAAUGUUUAACUGUUUGUACUGUGUUUUCUCUAGUUGUUUCUUCUAGAAGGUUUUUGAGAAUUUCAUAUUGCUGCUUCAUGUCAACGAUUUCUUUGUUCAGAAGUUCAUUUUCGUCAUGAAGUUUUUGUUUGUCCAAUGCCAUUUCUUGUUUUUGUCUCUCCAAAUCAGCUCUGUUUUGCUCAAGAUCACUUCGCUCUUUGCUCAACAAGUCUUUGGUACUCUCAAUUUGCUGCUUCUCUUUUUGUAUCUCCUUGUUCUGUUGCUCAUAGGUUUCCUUCAUGCUAUGUUUCAUGGCUUCGACUUCCAGCCUCAUGUUCUCCAGUUCAAAUCGUUCAUUUCUAGCAGCCUUGACUUCAUCUUUCAUUCUUCUGAGAACCUCUCUGACAUGUUCAAUUUCCUGGAUCAGCCUCUGCAUGUAAGCACUCAUUUCUUGCCUUUCCUCUGAAUCCGCUUGAACAUUAACAUCUCUCUGCAUGCUUCUUUCCAGGUCAUGUUUUGUUCUCCAGGCCAUUUCCCUAGUCUUUUCAGCCUCUUGAAUAAGCCUCAGUAUCUUGGUGUUUAUUUGUUCUUUCUCUUCCAGAUCUCCACCUCUUUCUUCCGUAUGAGAUAGUAGUUCCUCUCCUGCUCGUUGUUUCUCAGCUUUCAUUCGCUCCAUGUCCUCACGCUCUAUACUUAACAUGACUCUGUCCAUUUCCAGUUUCUCAUUUGCACUUUCAAUAUCAGCUCUCAUUUUCUCCAGCUCAUCUCUCUUUCUCGCUGCCUGUCUCAUCUUGUGAUCAAGAUCUUUCCUCAUGCUAUCAGUUUCAUCCUGAAGAAGCUUCAAUUCUUUCAUCUCAUGUUUAGUCUUUUGCAUCUUGUCCUCUAAUUCAUCUUUCUGUUUGAGUAUUUCAGCUCUCAUACCAAUGAGUUCCUCUACUUGUGAUUGUCUUUUAGUCUCAAACUCUUCUUUUUGGAUUAAAAUAUUUGAUUUGAUCUCCUCAUAUUUCUCCAUUUCUUUUGUAGCCUCUCUCAACAUUUCAUCAUUUGCUUUUCUUUCUUUUGCUAACUUAGCUUUCAUUUGCUCUAGUUGAAUUCUUUCAUCUUGAAUAUCCUGUUUUUGAACUUUUAUCUCCUCUAAUUCUUUAUGUAGAUUUGAUUUAUUUUGUUCCAUAUCAUCUAUGUCUCGUUUCAGUUGCGUUCUGCUUUUCUCAGUCAAUUCCUUUUCAUCCAAAAGCUCUUUCCUCAGCUGUUCCACAUUUUCAAUGUCUUUCUUUAGUGUCUCCAUCAGCUGACGCUGCUCUAACAGUUCACCUCUUUCUCUCUCCAGGUCAUGUUUUUGCUUUAAGAUCUCCACACUUAUCUGAUCAAGACUAUCUCGCUUUUUCUGCAGGUCUGCACGUUUGAUGUCACUCUCCUCGGAUUGUCUUUUGAAAUCUUCCUUGGUUUUUUCCAGAUCCAUCUUUUCCUUUGUAACAAUUGCUUUGUCUACAGCAAUGGCUUGUUUUUGUCUUUGUAUCUCAGCUUGUAUUUCAUCCAGGGUGUCAUUUUUCAUUUUGAUCUCCUUAACAAAUUGUUGUCUCUCUUUUUCUAACUCUUCUGCAGUCCUCUGACCUUCUUUCUGAACUUCUAGCUUUAACUUCUUAAUAUCCUCUCUCUUCUUUUCCAGCUCAUCUUGUUCAUUUUUAAAAGCUUGUUUCAUAUUUUGGAGGUUUUCCAAGUCUCUAGCCAACUCGGCUCUCUUUUGUUCCAGAUUCUCAAAAUCAUCCUUUUCUUUUAUUAUGUUGCUUUUCAUGUCAUCCAUUUCUUUUUGUUUAUUUUGAAGUUCUGUUCUCAUUUGUUCUAGUUCACUCUCUUUGUGUUGUAAUUGUUCCUUCUCAUCUUCAAUUUGAGCUAUUUGUCUCAAGUUAUCUGUACUCAUUUGCUUCAGAAUGUCUUUAUCUGUCUGUAAGUCAGUUCUUUGUCUGUCUAGUUCUUCCAUGGCUUGGUUUAUCUCUGCCUUGGUUUUCUCCAGCUCAGAUCUUUCUUCUUGAAGCAAGUCUUUGGCAGACUGAAUAUCCUUUCUUUGUUUCUCUGUCUCAUCCAUGAGCUCUUCCGCCUGUUGGUAGUCCGCUGGAAUACCACUGACGUCUAAUUGCUUUUUAAAUUUGGCUGCCAUCUCUUCUGCCCUCCAUCUUUCAUUCUUUGUCUUCUCAGAUAGUUUCUCCAAGUCUUCAGCUUGUCUUUGAAGGUCGCUUUUCAUCCUCUCUAGUUCCUCCUUCUCAUUUUCAAAGGUGUGUUUCUCAACUUUUAGAUUCUUUAAUUCUUUCUCCAUAUCCAUUUUUUGCCUCUCCAUAAGAUCCAAAUUUUUGGUCAACACCUCUCUGUCUUUUUCAACCUGAUCCUUUUCCUCCAGUAAUUUUAGUCUCAGUUGUUCACAGGUCUCCUUUUCUUCCUCUAGACUGACCAUCUCUCUCUCUACAUUUCUCUUCUGUGCCAUCAUUUCCACUCUGUCUCUUUCUACGUUGGUCAUUUCUGUCUUUGUGAAUUCCAUUAGAUCAUCAACCUCUCGCUGUAAUAGAUCAACGUCAGUUUGUCUCUGGUCCAGUUGACUCAUUUCCAUCAUAAUUGUGUUUUUCAGUUCAUCCAUUUCAUCCUGUUGUUGUAAAAUGGUUUCCUGCAGCUUUGCAAGUUCACUUUCUCUGCGAGAAAGGCUUUCAUUCGCUUUUUGAAUAGUAUCCACUUGUUUCGAGAUGUUCGCCCUCAUUUCUUCAAGAGCGUCUCUCUCUGUCCGCAUCUCUUUUAUUGACAUCUCAUUCCUUUCUUGCUGUUCUGCAAGAAGUUUGUUGGCUUUAGCAAUUUCUGUUUUGAUUUUCUCUAAAUCAGUCUUCUCCAUUUCAAACUCAGUUGCUUGCUUUUGUUGAUUACAUUUUUGGAUAUUAAUCUCCUCAUUAAGGCUUUCAAGAUUUCUUCUCUCUUCCUGAAGUUGAGCUGACAUUUCUUCUAGCUUCUGUCUUUCAUUGUGCAUGUCCUGCUUUUCCUUUUCAAUGUGUUCAGCUUCCCUUUUCAGUUCAGCUCUCAUCUGUUCCAGUUUGUCCUUUUCAUCUUGAAUAAACGUCUUCUCUAACAUCAUCUCCUGUUUAUGAGGUAAAUCCUCAGCCUCAGGUAAGUCUGACUUUUGGCUCUCAACAUCUGUUUCUAAUGCAUCUUUUAAGUCCAUUUCCAGCAUCUGCUCCAUCAAGACACAUUUCCCAUCUGAAUCUGACAUUUCUUUGUCUGUUAAGGAUUUGACUGCAUCCACGUCACUCUUUUGAAGAAACAUUUUAGCCUCUGACUUCUCAAGUAGACUCUCUUCUGUUAUGCCAAAUCUCAGGUGAUCAAUAUUUUCUUGUUUUCUUUUGAUGUCUGCCCGCAUUCUUUCAAGAUCUUCCUUUUCUAUUUGCAACUCUUGCUUUUCAUCUUCAAGUGCCAUUUUUUCUCUUCUUAUAUUCCCAAUCAUCUGUUCAAGCAUGUUUCUCUCUUCAUGCAUCUCUGCCAGUGUGAUCUCAAUGUUUGUUUUUUGUUCAGAAAGCUGUUUUUCAAGCUCUUCCUUGGUUUGAGACAUCUCAGCUUUGGUUUUCUCUAGGUCAGACCGUUCCCUUCUAAUCAAGUCUUUGCCUCUCACCAUUGCUUCUUGUUCCCUUUGUAUUUCAGUAUAGCUUUCAUCCAGAAUACCUCCCUUCUUUUUAAUUUCCUCCAUGAGAUCACUGAUUUCUUUCCUCUCUUUCUGGAGUUGAGCUGUCAUUUCCUCCAGUUUUUGUCUUUCAUCUUGUGUUUUUAAUUUGAUCUUCUCGAACUCUUGUGUCUCUCUUUGCAGGUCAGUUUUGAUCUUUUUUAUUACUUCCUUCUCAUUCUCCAAAGCUUCUCUCUCAUGUUUCAGACUCUCUGAGUCUCUGUCUACAUUAACUAGUUUUUGUUGCAGAUCUUCCAUGUCUCUCUUCAGCAGUUGUUUUUCAUUUUUCAGUAUUUCCUGAUUAGUCAAUACCUCCUUCAUCUGAAGCUCAACAUCUUCAGACUUCUUUCUCAGCUCAGUCAUCAUGUCCUGUUUUUCUCUGAUCAUUGCAGCUUUUUGAGUUUCAGCAAUGCUCUUUUCAUUCUUUGCGAUCUCCACAAUGUCAUGCAGCUCCUUCUGUUGUAUUUCUAUUUCAGUCUCUCUGAGAUCAAGCUGCUGCUUCUCAGUCAUGAUGAUUUCUUUGAGGUUUUUCAAUUCACAUUGUUGUUUUUGAUUCUCUGCUUGUAGUUGCUCUAGUUCAUCUUGUCUGAUUUUAUUUUGUCUUUCUCAUUUUCAAGAUCAUCAAUUUGUUUGGAGAUGUUCAGUCUCAUUUCCUUAAGGUUGUUUUUCUCUCUUUGUAGAUCUGCCAUUGAAGACUCACUUGCAGCUUUCAUUUCAUCCAGAAUCUCAUGUUUUCUCUUUGUAUCUUCAGCAAGAUGAACAAUAUUUUCUUUCUCUUUCUCAAGUUCUUCAGCCAUCUUUUCCAAACUCUGUCUCUCAUUUUGUGUUUCUUCUUUGAGCUUUCUGAUAUCAUCAGCUUCUCUUUGCAGAUCAAUCUUCAUCUGUUCUAACUUGUUCUUCUCAUCUUCAGUCACUUGUUUUUGAAGUGUCAUGAUCUUUAGGUCUUCAGUCAGAUCUUUUCUACUUUGGUCUACAUCAUCUCUUUCUUUCUUCAGUUGCUGUUUCUGUUUUUCAAUCUCUUUGUUUUAUCUUUAUCUAGUUGGCUUCUCUCAUUUCUCAUUUUUUCCAUAAUGUCACUCACUUCUGUCUGUUGUUUGUCUAGCUCAGACUGUCUCAGAUCAAGCUGACUUCUGUCUUUUAUUAUAAUAUUUCUGUCAUUGUCUAGUUCCUGUUUCUGAUUCUGAAUUUCAGUUUUCAGUUGUUCGAGUUCAUGUUGUUUUUGUCUUAUUUGUUCCUCUUGAUUUUUAAUUUCAUGUAUUUGUCUUGUGAUGGUCUCAUUCAUCUCCUUUAGGUUGUCUCUCUCUUUCUGUAUCUCUGCCUGUAUGAUUUCUUUCUCUUCUGCUUGCUCAGCAAAUAGUUUUUCAAGAUCUUCUUUGAUUUUAGCAAUUUCAUGUUUGGUUUUCUCCAAUUCAUGUUUUUCCUUUUCAAUCAUGUCUCUAUCAGAUUGAAUGGCUUUAGUUUUCACUUCAAUUUCUGUGUUCAUUUCAUCCAAGACCAUGUCUCUUCUUUUGGUCUUCUCAAAGAGGCUUUCAGUUUCUUCUCUCUCUUUCUGGAGUUGAGCUGUCAUUUCCUCCAGUUUUUGUCUUUCGUCUUGUGUUUGUAGUUUGAUCUUCUCGAACUCUUGUGUCUCUCUUUGCAGGUCAGUUUUGAUCUUUUUUAUUACUUCCUUCUCAUUCUCCAAAGCUUCUCUCUCAUGUUUCAGACUCUCUGAGUCUCUGUCUACAUUAACUAGUUUUUGUUGCAGAUCUUCCAUGUCCCUCUUCAGCAGUUGUUUGUCGUUUUUCAAUAUUUCCUGUUCAGUCAAUAGCUCCUUCAUCUGAAGCUCAACAUCUUCAGACUUCUUUCUCAGCUCAGUCAUCAUGUCCUGUUUUUCCCGGAUCACUGCAACUCUUUCACUUUCAAUGUUGUUCUUUUCCUUUUUCAUUUCAUUUUGUUGUUUAUGAAUCUCUGCUUGUAGUUGCUCUAGUUCAUCUUGUCUCAGUCUUAUUUUCUGUUUGUCAUUUUCAAGAUCAUCAAUUUGUUUUGGAGAUGUUCAAUCUCAUUUGCUCAAGGUUGUUUUUCUCUCUUUGUAGAUCUGCCAUUGAAGACUCACUUGCAGCUUUCAUUUCAUCCAGAAUCUCAUGUUUUCUCUUUGUAUCUUCAGCAAGAUGAACAAUAUCUUCUUUCUCUUUCUUAAGUUCUUCAGCCAUCUUUUCUAAACUCUGUCUCUCAUUUUGUGUUUCUUCUUUGAGCUUUCUGAUAUCAUCAGCUUCUCUUUGCAGCUCAGUCUUCAUCUGUUCUAACUUGUUCUUCUCAUCUUCAGUCACUUGUUUCUGAAGUGUCAUCAUCUUUAUGUCUUCAGUCAGAUCUUUUCUACUUUGGUCUACAUCAUCUCUUUCUUUCCUCAGUUGCUGUUUCUGUUCUUCCAUCUUUUGUUUUUCUUCAUCUAGUUGGCUUCUCUCAUUUCUCAUUUUUUCCAUAAUGUCACUCACUUCUGUCUGUUGUUUGUCUAGCUCAGACUGUCUCAGAUCAAGCUGACUUCUGUCUUUUAUUAUAAGGUUUCUGUCAUUGUAUAGUUCCUGUUUCUGAUUCUGAAUUUCAGUUUUCAGUUGUUCGAGUUCAUGUUGUUUUUGUCUCAUUUGUUCCUCUUGAUUUUUCAUAUCAUGUGUUUGUCUUGUGAUGGUCUCCUUCUUCUCCUCUAGGUUGUCUCUCUCUUUCUGUAUCUCUGCUAGUAUGAUUCCUUGCUGUUCUCUUUCUUUUUCUAGAUCCUCCUUUGCUUUAGCAAGUUCAUGUUUCAUUUUCUCGAGAUCAUGCAUUUCCUUCUCAAUCAUGUCUCUAUCAGAUUUGAAUUUCUUUCAUUUUAACUUGAAUUUCUUUGUUCUUUCCUUUGGUCUCCUCAAUAAGAUCAUUGAUUUCUUUUCCUCUCUUUCUGGAGUUGAGCUGUCAUUUCCUCCAGUUUUUGUCUUUCAUUUGUGUUUGUAGUUUGAUCUUCUCGAACUCUUGUGUCUCUCUUUGCAGGUCAGUUUUGAUCUUUUUUAUUACUUCCUUUUCAUUCUCCAAAGCUUCUCUCUCAUGUUUCAGACUCUCUGAGUCUCUGUCUACAUUAACUAGUUUUUGUUGCAGAUCUUCAUGUUUCUCUUCAGCAGUUGUGUAUCAUUUUUCAAUAUUUCCUUUUCAGUCAAUAUCUGCUUCAUCUGAAAGCUCAACAUCUUCAGACUUCUUUCUCAGCUCAGUCAUCAUGUCCUGUUUUUCUCUGAUCAUUGCAGCUUUUUGAGUUUCAGCAAUGCUCUUCUCAUUCUUUGCGAUCUCCACAAUGUCAUGCAGCUCCUUCUGUUGUUUUUCUAUUUCAGUCUCUCUGAGAUCAAGCUGCUGCUUCUCAGUCAUGAUGAUUUCUUUGAGGUUUUUCAUUUCACUUUGUUGUUUUUGAUUCUCUGCUUGUAGUUGCUCUAGUUCAUCUUGUGUGAGUCUAAUUUUCUCUUUCUCAUUUUCAAGAUCAUCAAUUUGUUUAGAGAUGUUCAAUCUCAUUUCCUCAAGGUUGUUUUUCUCUCUUUGUAGAUCUGCCAUUGAAGACUCACUUGCAGCUUUCAUUUCAUCCAGAAUCUCAUGUUUUCUCUUUGUAUCUUCAGCGAGAUGAACAAUAUCUUUCUUUCUCUUUCUCAAGUUCUUCAGCCAUCUUUUCUAAAUUCUGUCUCUCAUUUUGUGUUUCUUUUUUGAGCUUUCUGAUAUAUCAGCUUCUAUUUGCAGCUCAAUCUUCAUCUGUUCUAACUUGUUUUUCUCAUCUUCAGUCACUUGUUUCUGAAGUGCCAUCAUCUUUAGUUCUUCAGUCAGAUCCUUUCUUCGUUGGUCUUCAUCAUCUCUUUCUUUCUUCAGUUGCUGUUUCUGUUUUUCAAUCUCUUCUUUGUCUUUAUCUAGUUGGCUUCUCGCAUUUCUCAUUUUGUCCAUAAUGUGACUCACUUCUGUCUGUUGUUUGUCUAGCUCAGACUGUCUCAGAUCAAGCUGACUUCUGUCUUUUAUUAUAAUAUUUCUGUCAUUGUCUAGUUCCUGUUUCUGAUUCUGAAUUUCAGUUUUCAAUUGUUCGAGUUCAUGUUGUUUUUGUCUCAUUUGUUCCUCUUGAUUUUUCAAAUAACGUGUUUGUCUUGUGAUGGUCUCCUUCUUCUCCUCUAGGUUGUCUUUCUCUUUCUGAAUCUCUGCUAGUAUGAUUCCUUGCUUUUCUCUUUCUUUUUCAAGAUCCUCCUUUGCUUUAGCAAGUUUCCUUUUGAUUUUCUCAAGAUCGUGCAUUUCAUUCUCAAUCAUGUCUCUAUCAAAUUGAAUUUCUUUCAUUUUAACUUGAAUUUCUUUGUUCAUUUCAUCCAAGACCAUAUCUUUCACUUUUUUCUUCUCAGUAAGAUCAUUGAUUUCUUCUCUCACUUUCUGGAGUUGAGCUGUCAUUUCCUCCAGUUUUUGUCUUUCAUCUUGUGUUUGUAGUUUGAUCUUCUCGAACUCUUGUGUCUCUCUUUGCAGGUCAGUUUUGAUCUUUUUUAUUACUUCCUUCUCAUUCUCCAAAGCUUCUCUCUCAUGUUUCAGACUCUCUGAGUCUCUGUCUACAUUAAUUAUUUUUUGUUGCAGAUCUUCCUUGUCUCUCUUUAACAGUUGUCUAUCAUUUUCCAACAUUUCCCUUUCAGUCAAUAUCUGCUUCAUCUGAAGCUCAACAUCUUCAGACUUCUUUCUCAGCUCAGACAUCAGGUCCUGUUUUUCCCUGAUCUCUUUUUGCAGAUUUUCUAAUGUGGACUCAUGUAAUACUUUCAUUUCAUCAAGAAUCUCAUUCUUUCUCUUUGUAUCUUCAGCAAGAUGAACAAUAUCUUCUUUCUCCUUCUGAAGUUUUUCAGCCAUCUUUUCCAAACUCUGUCUCUCAUUUUGUGUUUCUUCUUUUAGCCUUCUCAUAUCUUCAGUUUGUCUUUGCAGCUCAAUCUUCAUCUGUUCUACGUCAUCCUUCUCAUUUCGAAUAGCUUUUUUAUGAUAUUGAAGCUCCUUUAUCUCUCUGUCUAGGGCUGCUCUUUUUUCAUUUAUGUCAUUAUUCAGUUCUGCCUUCAAGAGCUCCAGUUCAGUCUCCAUUUGGUGUUUCUGUGUUAGCAUUUCAGACUUCUCUUUUUCAAUAUAAGCCCUUUCUCCUGUUGUAAAUGCCAUGACUUCAUUUACCUUUCUCUGUUUUUGAUCUAUUUCAGUUUUCUUCUUUUCAAGUCUGUCUUUUUCCAUUGUGAGAGCUUUUCGUGAGGCUUCCAUUUCAUCUUGCUGCCUAUAAAUUAGAGCUUGGAGUUGUUCAAGUUCAGUCUGUCUCAUACUCAUUUGUUGUUUCUCAUUUGCAAUGUUGUCCUGUUGCUCUGAAAUACUAUCUCUCAGUAAAAGAAGCAUGUCUUUUUCUUUCUGUAUUUCUGCUAGUGUGAUCUUGUUCUUUUCUCUUUCUUCAACGAGCUGGGUUUCAAGAUCCUCCUUCGCUCUUGCUAUAUCUGUCAUCACCUUCUGCUCAUCUAUCUCUGUUUGCUCUUUCUGAAUUUCCAUUUUUAGACUUUGCAGCUCCGCUUGUUGGUAUCUUGUUUGUUCAAUGUCGUUUUCUAGAUCAUCUCUCUGUUGUGAUAUGUUCAUCCUUAACUGCUCAAGAAUGUGUUUCUCCUUCUGUAUCUCUGCCAGUGUUAGCUCAUUUUGUCUUUUAUGUGAUUCAAUUUGGUUCUCAAGAUCUUCUUUGGCUCUGGCUAUCUCUGCUUUAGUUUUCUCCAGGUCAGAUUUGUCCUUUUUAAGAGUGUCUCUAUCAGAUUCAAUUGUUUGUUUUUGUUUUCUUAGAUCUCCUUCCUCUGAUCUUAUUCUGGCAAAAGAAAUCUCUAUAUCUUCCUUCUCUUUUUGAAGGAUGAUCGCCAUUUCCUCAGCCUUCUGCCUGCCAUUUUCUAUGUCUUGCCUUAGUUUAGCAAUAAUUUCCUUUUCUUGUUGGAACUCAUUUUUCAUCUUAUCAAAUUCCUGCUUUUCUUUGCCAGUCAAUUGUUUCUGGUAGUUUAAGGUCUCAAACUCCUCAGCUAAGAUGGUUCUAUUUUCUUUUAUAUCCUCCAGAUCUUUGUUCAGUAUUUGCCUGCUGUUUUCAAUAGAUUCUUUUUCGUGGAGAACUUCUUGCUUCAUCAGCUCCACUGUUUCACUUUCCCUCUUCAGUUCUACUGCAAUGCCAUUCACUCUUUGUCUUUCUUCCAUUACAUUAGUCCUCUCUUUUUCAAGUCUGUCCAUCACACUCUCUAAUUCUCUCUUUUGCUUUUCCAUUUCAGCCUGUCUUUCAUUAAGCUGACUCUUUUCUUUCAUGAUAACAUCCUGAAUCUCUUCUAUUUCUUUCUGUUGUGCAUGAAGUUGUGAUGUUUGUAUAUUCAGGUCAUUUUCUUGGUGUCUCAAACUUUCCUUCACUAUUUUAAUACCAUGUUCCUCUUGUGAAAUGUUCAUCUUCAUUUGCUCAAGGGAAUUUCUCUGCUUCUCCAUCUCUAACCGAUCAAUAUCAUUCAUUUUUCUCUUUUCAGCAAGAUCGUCUUUUGCUCUCGCUAUGUCUCUUUUGCUUUUCUCCACUUCAAACUUCUGGUUUUCUAAUACAUCUUUUUCAGUCUCAAUGUCUUGCUUUUGUUUUUCUAGCUCAAGGCGCAUCCUCUCUAGAGCUUCUUUUCUGUAAUUUCCCUCAUGUUGAAUUUGAGCUGCCAUGUCUUUUAUACUCUGCUUUUCAGCUACCACCUCUUUCUUUAGUCUCUCAGUAUUGUCAGCCUCUUUCUGAAGGUCAGCUCUUAUCUGCUGUAUCUCUUUCUCAAACGAUUGCCUCUGAAACUGCAAGUUUUCAAAUUCUUUGUGCAGUUUGGCUUUAUUUUUCUCUAUGUCUUCCUCAUCCAUUUCUAGUGAUUUCAUCCGGCUUUCAAAUACUUCUUUUUGCUCAAUUAAAUAUCUCUUUUGGAGCUCCACAUUUUCAUAUGCCACCCUCAGUUCUUCUCUCAAAUUCUCCAUUUCCUGUCUCUCUUUCUCCAGAUCUGUCGCGUCUCUAUCUCUUGCAGUCUUAACGUAUUCUAUUUUUUCAUGUGCAACUGUCCAUUGUUGAUCUUGGUCAGCUUGCAUCUGCUCAACUUGCAUCUUUUCCAUUCUUAAACUGCUCUUUAACUCAUCUAUUUGUUUUUGUUUGUUUUCAACCUCUGCUUCUUUUUGUUUCAGUUCAUUUUCUCUCUGUCUUAAAUUUUCUUUAUCACUUUCAACGAUGCACCUUUGAUUUGAGAUGGUUUCACUCAUCUGGGUAAGAUUGUCUCUUUCUUUCUCUAUAUCUGCCAGUAUAAUAAUGUUCUGUUCUUUUUGCUGAGCAAAUUCAUCUUUGAGAUCUCUGAGCUUAGACUUUUCCUGUUCUAGCACAUCUCUCUCAGACUCAACAUAUCGCUUUUCUUUUUCAACCUCCAUGUGCAUCUCAUCCAGAGCUUUGGACCUCUUUUCAAUCUCUUCACCUAGACUAUCAGUGUAUUGUCUUUCUUUCUGAAUUUUGGCUUCUAUAUCUUUUACGUUUUGUAUGUCAUUCUGAACAGCUUGUCUUACAUUUUCAAUGACACCGGCUUCUUUUUGCAGAUCAGCUUUCAUGCCCUUCAAUAUCUCAAAUGCAUUUUCCUGCUUUUCUACAUCAGCUUUCAUUUUAUCCAGUUCCUCUAUCUGUCUUUUUGUCUCUUCUGAAAGGCUCACAAUGGCAUCUCUCUCUUUCUGAAGUUGCACAGCGGUGUUUUUAAGCUUCUGUCUUUCAGCUAGUGUAUCUUGUCUUAGCUUCUCAGUAUCUUCAGCUACUUGUUGCAGCACAGAUUCAGUCUGUUGCAACUUGCUUUUCUCUUCUGCAAUACUUUGUCUUUGUAAUUUUAUCUCCUCUGCCUGACUACCCAAAUUGAUUUUCUUCUGCUCCAGAUCUUCUAUAUCUCUCAGUAAAACUAUUCUGCAGUCCUCAAUAAGUCGCUUCUCAUUUAGUACCUCUAUUUUCACAAGCUCCACAGUUUCUAGUUCUCUGUUUAAUGUAUCUGUCAAGUUACUCUCCAUCUGCUGCUUCUGUUCCAUUAUAGCUGCCCUUUCUCUGUCAAGAUUGCCUUUUUCAUUUUGUGUGAACUGCCUGAUGGCUUCCGCCUGUUUUAGCUUUUCGGCUAUUUCAUCAUGGCUUUUCUGAAGUUGACUUUUUUGCAUUAAAACUAUAUUCUGAAUAUCCUGCACUUCUUUUUGUUGUCUGUUAAGAUCAGCCUGCAUUUGCUGCAGUUCAUUUUCUCUCUGCUUUAUUUCCUCCUUCUCAUUCUCAAAAUCAUCUUUUUGCUGUAAAAUGAGUACAUUUAUUUUCUCAAGUGUGUCUCUCUCCUUUUUGAUCUCCUUCAGUGUCCGCUCAUUCUCCUCUCUCAGGUUCUCUAGAUCGUUCUUUUCUCUCGCUAUUUCUGCUUGUAUCUGUUGCAUAUCACACCUUUUCUUUUCUAGUUCCUCCCUCUCUUGUUUAAGCUGCUCUGCCCAUUUCUUCAUGUUCUGUCUUUCUUUCUGCACAUCCUGUUUUAACCUUUCGAUAUCACUAGACUCUUUUUGCAGCUCAUAUUUCAUGUUCUGUAACAUUCCCUUUUCAUCCUCUAUCCUUUUUCUCUGAGCUUCUAUGUCUUCUAGUUCUUUAGCAAAAGUGUCUUUUAGGUCGGCCUCCAUGGUUUGCUUUUGUUUUUCUAUAUCCUGUCGAAUGUGAUUUAGAACAUCUCUGGCAUUUUCUAAUUCUGUUCUUAUCAUGUAUUCUUUUUCUCUGCUUUCUGUAAUCUCAGCCUGCAGGUCAUCCCAUCCUUUCUGUAUUUCUAGCUUUGUCCUUUCCACCUCAUCUUUUGUUCGUUCUAGCUCCUGUUUUCGCAGCUCUAAUUGUAACUCUAUGUCUGCUGUGUUUUUUGUAGCAGUUUGCAGUGCGGCUUCUUUGAGUGAUAAUUCAUCCUUGCUCAGUUUUAUUUCUGCCAGUUGUCUCUCAAUUGUACUUUUUUGUGCAAGUAAGUCUUCUUUAAAAUUCUCCAGAGCUUGUCGCUCUUUAUCCAGCUCCUCCAUAGUCAAGCUCAUCUGAUAUUUUCCUACAUCCUCCAUCACAUCAGUUUGGACUUGUACAUCAACUUGUUUAAUCUCCAUCAAUCUUGCCUUUUCUAAUUCACAUUUCUCUCUCUGUAGAUUUACGUCCAUACUCUCUAGUUCUUGUUUUCUUUGAUCUAGCUGCUUCUUCUCUUUCCAUAUUAUAUCUAAACCUCUCCGGUUUUCUUCUCUCUCUGAUUGCAGCAGUCUUUCCCAGUUUUGUAGACCCACUCGUUUCUUUUCCAUCUCAAUUUCCAUCUCUUGUAAUUUUGUCAUCCUCUCUUCAGCUUCAUUCUUUAUCGCUCGUACAUCCUCCUUUGUUUUCUCUAGUUCAUGUUUCUCUUUUAAAAUUAUUUCUUUAUAUUGUUCCAGUUCUUGUCUUUCUUUCUGUAUAUCACUCACAAAGUCUUCCACUUUAAUGGCAGCUGCUUCUUCUGUUUUUGCAUACUCCUGGCUCUCGGUUGGAAUGAUGGCUGGUUGAACCUGAAAUAAAUGGUUCUUGUUUGCAUUUGCAUCUCUGUCCCAAUAUUUUUUUUAGAUAUACUAUGUAGGCAGUAUACAGUUAUUCUGAACACAGUUCAUGAUCAACUUACUUUUCACAAUCUUGAGUAAAAAUUCAGUUUAAAUCCCUUUUAGCAUUUUAUACAACUUGAAAUGUUGACCCUAUUUACUUUCUUAAUACGUGUGUAUAAUUCAUUGUCAAGUCUUUGUCUAAUUCUUUUUCUCUUGUUUCACUCAAGAUUGUCAUGUUUAACUGUAAUAAGUUGCAUCCUUGCAAAAUAGGUUACGGAUGCUUCAUGUUGACUUUAAGAGUCCAUUUGCUGCCGUCAAUAUUGAUAAAGCAGAUAAAAUAAUGACACUGUUCAAUGCAAGUAAAUUAUGACUUACCUUUUCUUUGCCUGUCUUUUCUAGAGCAGUGAGUUCUUUCUGUCUCUUUAUCUCUUCUUUGGCCUGUGCUAUGUCCUCCAAAGCAUUUUUCACAUCUUCUCUCAUCUGCUCCAUCAUAUCAUUCUCUUUAAUGGUCUCCUCCAGCCUCUCCUCCAGUUCUUGUCUUUGUCGCUGCACCAUAUUUCUCACGAGUUCUAGUUCAUCUCGUUCUCUCAUAAUCCUUUCUUCUCUAUAUUCAAUCUCUCUUCUCCUUCGUUGAACUUCAUUCUUCAAUAGCCUCAUCUCAUCCCUGUCUCUCUUCAUCGUUUCCUUGUUGUAUUCUACCUCAGCCUUAAGACCUCGCAGCAUUUCCCGGAUGUGUUCAAUCUCCAAAAUGAGCCUGUGCAUCUCAGCAUUCAUCUCCUCUUGGACUGUUGUCUCCAUCUGACUUCCUGCCAUUCGACUUUCAAUCUGGAAUUUUGCUUUCCGCACCAUUUCUCUCGUCCCCUCAAUCUGCUGAAUAAGACUGAUUAUUGUGAGGUUCAUCUGUCCUUUCUCUUCUUCUAAAUCUCUCUCCUCCAUCCUAAGUUCAAACUCCUCUCUCGCUCUUUGGAUUUCAGCUUUAACUUGCUCCAUUUCAUAUUUCUGCCUCUCCGUCUCCACUCUUUUCUGUUCCAUCUCAUCUUUUGCCCUUUGUAUCUCCAUCCUCAGUCGUUCCAUCUCAUCCUUCUUCCUCAUGGUCAGUUUCAUCCUUUGGUCAAGUUCUUUCUUCUUCCCUUCCAUUUCUCUCUUCAUCAGCUCCAUUUCUCCAAUCUCUCGUUUGGUUUUCUGCAUCCUUUCCUCCAGCUCUUCUCUUUGUCUUUGUAUUUCCUCUUUGACAAGCUGCAUUUUGUCCAUCUCUGCUUUUGCUAGCUCCAUUUUCCUUUCAACAUCCUCUUUUUGUUUUAAGAUCUCAGUCCUCAUCAGUUCCAUCUGGUAUCUCUCACUUUUUGCUUCCAUCAUCUGGAUUUCAAUAUCUUCUUUCUGUUUUUGGAGGUCUGCUCUCAUCUUUUCAAGAUGAGUCAUUUCCAGCCUUGCCUUCUCCAUCUUUACGUCGAUGUCCUCCUUCUGUUUUGUUAACUCCAUCUUCAUGUCUUCAAUAUCACCCAUCUCCUUCUUCAUAGCUUCCAUCUUCCUCAUCAUCUCCUCCUUCUCCCUGUUCAUCCUUUCACAUUCCUCAGGCUCUCCCUUUUCAGCCUCAUCCCACAACCUCUCUAUCUCCGCUCUCACCCUGUUAAUCUCAUCCUUGACCUCUUCAUAUGUGUCUUUCCCUCUCAGCGUUUCCAAACGGAUCUUCUCCAGAUCUUCUCUCUCGUCCUCCAUGUCCUCUCUCAUCUUCCUCAAGGUGUCCUCUCGUCGUUUUGUCUCCUCUAACCUUUUAUUCACUUCCUCUCUUUGUUCCUGGAUCUCAAUCAUAAGGCGUUCAGCUUUCACUCUAUCUUGUUGCGCUAACUCUCUGCUUCUGUUCAUGAUCUCUGUGUCCAGAAAUAGCUGAGUCUUGAUCUUCUCAAGUUCUUCUCUUUGUCUCUGCACUUGAGCACUCUGUUCUACAUCAUAUCUCAUCAUUUCAUACCUUUGUUUUUCUAGAUCUUUCUUGUCGUUCUGGACCUGAACUCUAAUCUGUUUGAGUUCCUCUCUCUCCUUGUCCAUCUCAGCUAAACGCUUUUCCUGAUCUUCCUUGUCCUUCAACGCAGCUGUUUUCAGUUGCUCAACAAUCUCUUUCUCUUGCUGUGUAUCCUCCAGCAUUUUCUGCAGGUUUUCUUUUUCAGAAUACCUCAACUUUUCUAGCUCAUGUCUGGCUCUUUGUAUCUCUUCAUUUAUUUGUUCUAACUCCUCUGUUUUUUUGUGUAUUUCAUCUCUUUGCUCCAAUGCCUCUGUUAUGGUUUCAUACCGUCUCUUUUCUGACUCUUCCAUUUGCUUUUUUAAGAGCAUCUCAGCCUCUUUGACUCCAAGUUUGGCAUGGUUUGCCUCCUCCUUUUCUUGUUUUGCAACUCUAAUCCUGUUCUCUAUUUCUGCCUUUUGUUUUUGUAGCUCAUUUCUCAUGCUUUUGAUUUCAUCUGCUUCUUCUUUAGCCUUUUCGCUGCUUUUAGUAAUCUCUCCUCGCUCUUUCUCCAUCUGUUCUAUCAUUUUUGUCAACUCCUCUCUCUUUGCUUUAGCCUCAUCCAUCUGUUUGAUAGCGGCAAGUUUGUCGUCUUCUGCCUGAAGCUUUAUUUUUUCAAGACUGUCCUUCCACUGCAUGAGCUCCAUCCUGCUCUCCUCAAUGUUUUUCUGCGAUCUUUGGACCUCGUCCCUUAAUUUUUCCAGUCUUUCCAUCUCAUGCUGAGUUUUCGCUCUGAGUUCAACUUCCUCUUUCUCUGUUUCAUGCCACCUGUUCUCCAUUUCCUCCUUCACCCUGAGGAUUUCACUUCUGAGGAACUCACACUGUUCGGUCUCUCUUUUCACCAAUUCUCUCUUUCGUUCCAGCUCCUCCCGCUCUUCCUCCAACUCAGCCUUUGUCUCCUCCAUUUGUUCUUUUGUUUUUUGGAUCUCCUCAAUUUUCUUCUCAAUAUCUUCAAUCUGUCCUUGAAUUUCAGUCUUCAUUUUUUCCAUUUUCUCAUUUUCCCGGAUUGUGACUUCUUGGCUGUUCUCAAUAUCCUCUUUGGCUCUGUCUAUCUCAUGUUUAAUUCUUUCUAACUCUUGUCUCUCCCUCAGCAUCUCCUCUUGUCUUCGGUUCAAGCUGUCUUUUUCAGCCUUGAUCUCUGCUUUGAUUAGUUCUGUCAUUUCUCUUUCUUGUCUGGCUUCUUCUCUUAUCUUAAAACUUUCUUCCUUCUCCUUCAGUAUCUUUGCUUUCUCCGUAUCGUUAGCCCUUUGUAUCUCUACUCUUAAACUCUCCACCUCGUCUCUCUCCCUCUGCAGUCGAGCUCUGUGCUCUAGCUCCUCUGUCACUAUCUCAUACCUCUUCUUCUCCAUUUCUUCUUUAGCUUUUCGUAUAUCAUCCUUCUGUUUUUCUAGAAUAUCUUUGUCCUUCUGCAUCUCUAUUUUCAUAUGUUUCACCCUAUCAGUUUCUCUUUUUAUUUCCUCAACUCUGGCAUCCAUAGAUAUCAUGUGAUUUUGUAUGUCCACUUUGGCCUGUCCGAUCUUUUCCCAUUCCUUUUUGACCAACUCUCUAUUCAUCACCAACUCCUCUCGACCUCUCUCAAUUUCAUAUUUCAUCUCUUCCAGAUCCUUUUCUUUUCUUAAAAUAUCUUGCCAUUUCUUUUCAAUGAGGUUGUUUUCUGUAAGCGCUUGAGCUCUCAGCUGGUUUAUUCUCUCAAUCUCUUGUUUUGAAAAAUCUCUGUUUCUUUCAACCUCUUCUCUUGUUCUUUGAAUCUCGUCUUGCAGGUAUUUCAGCUCAUCUUUCUCUCUUUGGAUUAUAGCUCUCUGUUCCAGCCCUUCUUUCUCUGUUUCAUGCCAUCUUUGCUCCAUUUCCAUCUUCACUUGCUGUAUGUCAACUUUAAUCUGCUCAAAUUGGUCUCUUUGCCUCUUGAUGUCAUACUUCUUUCUCUCCAGGUCGCUUUUCUCCUCCUCUAUUUCAGCUUUCAUCUGCUCCAUCUGACACUUUGCUUUCUGUGUUUCCCCGAUCUUCAUCUCUAUCUCGUUGAUCUGAACUUGUAUGGCACUUUUCAUUUGUUCCAUUCGUUCCAUCUCGUACUUUGUGCUUUCACGGUUGCUCUCCAGCUCCUCCUUCUGUCUCAGAGUCUCAUAUCUGAUCAUCUCCAAGUUCUGUCUCUCUCUCAUGAUUUCAUCAUGCUUUUGCUCCAGGGUGGUUUGCUCAGUUUGGAGAUCAGAUCUCAUUUGCUCAAUCCUCUCCCUCUCUCUAUUUACCUCUUCUUUAUUACGAUCCAUUCUUUCGCAGAUGUGGUCCAUCUCAGCUUUCAUGUGAGUAAUAGUUCUCUCAAGUUGUCUUUUCUCAGUGGUCAUCCUGACUAUCUCAUCUUGCUGUUUCUGAAUCCUCUGUCUCAUGUAGUCUAUCUCAGUCCUCUCUUGCUUAGUUCCUUCCCAAAGUUUCUCGAUCUGCUCAAUGGCACGCAUUGUUUCUAGUCUACGCCUUUUUAGAGAGUCUUUUCUUUUCUGGGUGUCACUUGAAUGUCCAUUUCUGUCAUCCUGUCUUCUUUUUUCUCUGGGAGAACUGGGUGGACUGAUUCUCUCUGUUUGUGUAUGCUUGCUGUUGCGUUGUCUCCACUCUGCAAAAUAAUAAUAAAAAAAGAUAAAUAACUAAACUUAUUAUUAUUAUUAAUAAAUAAAUAUUAAUGCAAACGUUUUUUUUUCUUUCUCAUACAACUUAGUAAGUUUGUAGUGCCAUGUUAAUAAUGACCAUGACUGAAUUAACUUAGUGAUAAGAAUUCACAAACUGGACAGAUCCAGUUCUCGUUAAAUGGCACUAUUGCUAUCCACUAAAAUUAAUUAGAUUUUCUAACCUAGUUCUUGAAUCAGUUCAGGCUCUGUCAUUCUCAGGAUGAGAUGGAAGGACACUCUGUUUAGGGGUGGCUCUCUUUCCAAAGCCUCAAACAGGAGCCGCAUUGCCUCCUGCUGGGUUGGAGCAGCCUGCACUUGUUGAGCUGCUGCUUCAUGGAUCAGACUUUGGGAGACAACAGCCUCAGCAAUGUCACUGACCCGAGUAGCCCUCGUAAUUAUCUGCUCCUUGAAUUCUGUCAGGAAAUCUCCAACUGUUGGGAAGGAGAACAUUUGCACUGCAUUAAUAAACAAUGCAUUACACAGUCACAAUUAAAUGUAGAUUAAAUUAAGUAGUGCAGUGAACUUUACCGUAAUCUCUGGAUUCUGCCAUGGCUGCUUGCUUGCUUAAGAAAUUAAUUCCAUUGUGUACUACAGUAUUUAAAAAUAACAAAAUAUCAUUAAAAAUAAAGGAACAUAAGGAAUAAACAUAAAGGAUAAAGUGUACAGAAAUGUAAAGGUGAAGUUAUUUGAGUGUUGUACCGUUUUCAAAAGAUUUUAACUGUGAAAUGUAUUGUAAAAUAGAGAAAAACAAUAAAGCAAGAUAUACAUUCAAUCCAGAUCAUUUUUAUACAUGAGUAUUAAGGAGGCAGAAAUGGGAUUGCAGCAUUUUUUAUAGACUUGCAUUGUUUUCUUGACAAAUGUUUUUAUCCUUUAACUUAAUAAGUAAAACACAUUUUGAAGUUAUAAAUAACAUGAUUAUUAAUAUGUUUUACAAUAAAUAUUAUUUCAGUUUCUCUUCAAAAUGUCAUGUUUAAUUUGUUGCCAUGUCCUUAUAUUUGUUUGUGAAAUUUACUAGCCAUUUCUGAGUGAUUUUUUUUUUCUAGUGCUAAGAUAUGACUUAAGGAACUAAUAUUAUUUUAUAAAAUUGUUUAAAAGAUUCUUACCUUUUGUGAUAUUACUGGAUUUAAUUAGUUCUGUAAAAAGUUGUGGUCUGAUGAUGGAGGCAUAUUGCUCUAGUAAUGGUGAAG